GAUGAAGAACGCAGCGAAAUGCGAUAAGUAAUGUGAAUUGCAGAAUUCAGUGAAUCAUCGAAUCUUUGAACGCACAUUGCGCCCGCCAGUAUUCUGGCGGGCAUGCCUGUUCGAGCGUCAUUUCAACCAUCAGGCCCCCGGCUUGUGUUGGGGACCUGCGGCUGCCGCAGGCCCUGAAAACCAGUGGCGGGCUCGCUGUCACACCGAGCGUAGUAGAUUUUCAUCUCGCUCAGGGCGUGCUGCGGGUUCCGGCCGUAAAAAGCCUUAUUUACCCAAGGUUGACCUCGGAUCAGGUAGGAAGACCCGCUGAACUUAAGCAUAUCAAUAAGCGGAGGA
RNAcentral lists this unclassified non-coding RNA (336 nucleotides) under soil metagenome. RNAcentral describes it as "partial contains 5.8S ribosomal RNA, internal transcribed spacer 2, and large subunit ribosomal RNA". The stretch from base 1 to 120 matches the Rfam family "5.8S ribosomal RNA", at positions 35 to 154 of the family's 154-position model. The record is from RNAcentral.